Molecule: ribosomal RNA, 497 nt
Filed under: uncultured bacterium
Lineage: Bacteria
Description: partial 16S ribosomal RNA
Rfam family: Bacterial small subunit ribosomal RNA
Source: RNAcentral
GAUGAACGCUGGCGGCGUGCCUAAUACAUGCAAGUCGAACGAACAGAUGAGGAGCUUGCUCCUCUGACGUUAGCGGCGGACGGGUGAGUAACACGUGGAUAACCUACCUAUAAGACUGGGAUAACUUCGGGAAACCGGAGCUAAUACCGGAUAAUAUAUUGAACCGCAUGGUUCAAUAGUGAAAGACGGUUUUGCUGUCACUUAUAGAUGGAUCCGCGCCGCAUUAGCUAGUUGGUAAGGUAACGGCUUACCAAGGCAACGAUGCGUAGCCGACCUGAGAGGGGGAUCGGCCACACUGGAACUGAGACACGGUCCAGACUCCUACGGGAGGCAGCAGUAGGGAAUCUUCCGCAAUGGGCGAAAGCCUGACGGAGCAACGCCGCGUGAGUGAUGAAGGUCUUCGGAUCGUAAAACUCUGUUAUUAGGGAAGAACAAAUGUGUAAGUAACUAUGCACGUCUUGACGGUACCUAAUCAGAAAGCCACGGCUAACUACGUG